Molecule: ribosomal RNA, 254 nt
Filed under: uncultured Pseudomonas sp.
Lineage: Bacteria; Pseudomonadati; Pseudomonadota; Gammaproteobacteria; Pseudomonadales; Pseudomonadaceae
Description: partial 16S ribosomal RNA
Rfam family: Bacterial small subunit ribosomal RNA
Source: RNAcentral
CGGACGGGUGAGUAAUGCUUAGGAAUCUGCCUGGUAGUGGGGGACAACGUUUCGAAAGGAACGCUAAUACCGCAUACGUCCUACGGGAGAAAGCAGGGGACCUUCGGGCCUUGCGCUAUCAGAUGAGCCUAGGUCGGAUUAGCUAGUUGGUGAGGUAAUGGCUCACCAAGGCGACGAUCCGUAACUGGUCUGAGAGGAUGAUCAGUCACACUGGAACUGAGACACGGUCCAGACUCCUACGGGAGGCAGCAGCU